UAAUACCGCAUACGCUCGAGAGAGAAGGUGGGGGAUCGCAAGACCUCACGUUAUAGGAGCGGCCGAUGUCCGAUUAGCUAGUUGGUGGGUAAAGGCCUACCAAGGCGACGAUCGGUAGCUGGUCUGAGAGGAUGAUCAGCCACACUGGGACUGAGACACGGCCCAGACUCCUACGGGAGGCAGCAGUGGGGAAUUUUGGACAAUGGGCGAAAGCCUGAUCCAGCCAUGCCGCGUGCGGGAAGAAGGCCUUCGGGUUGUAAACCGCUUUAGUCCGGGAAAAAGGGUGCGAGGAUUAAUACCCUUGUGCUUUGAUGGUACUGGAAGAAUAAGCACCGGCUAACUACGUG
RNAcentral lists this ribosomal RNA (347 nucleotides) under uncultured bacterium. Its description in RNAcentral is "bacterial SSU rRNA". It matches the Rfam family "Bacterial small subunit ribosomal RNA", at positions 164 to 507 of the family's 1533-position model. The record is from RNAcentral.